GCAGCCAACCUCGGUCUCGCGAAAUUGAGCGAGAUUACGGAAGCCAGAAGGAUUGGUUAAGGUUUUCCGGAGCUAAGGGCCAACUACGGCUCUGAGGCCCUGGAUAUAUAAAGAUGAAAAAAACACCUGGUUCCUGUGUGGCACACAGUUCAAUAGAGGAGUAGAUGUAAGAAGAAGCAAAUAUGGCAUAGUGGAAAGAAAGAGCCCAGGAAAUAGUUGAGAAAGAAAGACUGAACAGACUUACAGUCUCCUAGUCUGGGUGAGAUGAACCACCCACAUGAGAGAAGAUCAGAAGAGGAUGAAGAUCAGAAGAGGAUGCUGCCAAACCUCAAUGGAUUAUCAGCACAGCAGUGAAACAUGAUAUUGCAAGGAUACCAGUUUCCAAAAAUGAGACUAAUUAAAAUAUAAAGUGGACAGCCCUUUUACCUGGAUGUCAUAGUGGCAUAUUUAAGUCCCCCAGCUCAACAACAACCAGGGAAGAGGAAGAGGACAAAGGGAAUGCAAAUAAAAAUGAAUUUUCAUUUUGGUACAUCUCAAUUUGUUUCUUGUUAAACAGGCUAAAAGAAAAUGAUUUUCUGCUCCCUAACUGCUUUUCUAAUCAUCUAGCUUUAGAUUUGUUACUGGAUAAUUUUAAGAUGUGCUCAUUUCUGUGGAGAAAUAAACAUGAAGCCAGCCUAAAAACCUGUGAGAAGCUAAUGUGCUUUGUGUAGGUAAGCAAUUUAAAAACUAAAGUGUAGGUACAUUAUUGAGAGG
Long non-coding RNA from Phacochoerus africanus (Common warthog), 753 nucleotides. RefSeq lists it as uncharacterized. The record is from RefSeq and is a predicted model, not a curated record. Lineage: Eukaryota; Metazoa; Chordata; Mammalia; Artiodactyla; Suidae. The transcript is spliced from 3 exons.